This is a long non-coding RNA of Cydia amplana, 153 nucleotides long. RefSeq lists it as uncharacterized. The record is from RefSeq and is a predicted model, not a curated record. Lineage: Eukaryota; Metazoa; Arthropoda; Insecta; Lepidoptera; Tortricidae. The transcript has 2 exons.
AUCGCACAUCCGUUGCUGAUAUUAAUGAAGUAGCUGACUGUACCGAGGAGAAAAUUGAACCAGUUCGAGGUUUCGUAUUUAACAUACGUUUCGAAAAACCAAGGAAGAACCUGGUAUAUAAAGCUAAUUGCUGCUGCGUUUGGCAUCGCCGUC